GUAAGGAACUGGUCGCCCACUCGAGCGAUUUCCUCGAUGGCCAGUUGAGUUUCCGCGAGCGGCUGGCCGUGAGAACCCACCUCGCCAUGUGCCGCCAUUGCCGCCGCUUCAUCCGCCAGAUGCGCCUGAGCCAGGCCGUGCUGCGGCGCCUGCCGGAUACGCCGAUUCCCGAGCUGGAUGCCUUGUCCGCCCGCCUAGCCAAGCAGCGGCGGGAUGAUCUCGUUUCGUAGUUCAUGGCAGGCAUU
RNAcentral lists this small RNA (245 nucleotides) under Pseudomonas indica. Its description in RNAcentral is "Pseudomonas sRNA P17". It matches the Rfam family "Pseudomonas sRNA P17". The record is from Rfam by way of RNAcentral. Lineage: Bacteria; Pseudomonadati; Pseudomonadota; Gammaproteobacteria; Pseudomonadales; Pseudomonadaceae.